This is a long non-coding RNA of Bos taurus (domestic cattle), 1242 nucleotides long. NCBI's taxonomy places the organism in Eukaryota, Metazoa, Chordata, Mammalia, Artiodactyla, Bovidae. The record is from Ensembl.
CAUCAGGAAGUUCACCGUUCACUUACUGCUGAAGCCUGGCUUGGAGAAUUUUGAGCAUUCCUUUACUAGCAUGUGAGAUGAGUACAAUUGUGUGGUAGUUUGAGCAUUCUUUGGCAUUGCCUUUCUUUGGGAUUGGAAUGAAAACUGACCUUUUCCAGUCCUGUGGCCACUGCUGAGUUUUCCAAAUUUGCUGGCAUAUUGAGUGGAGCACUUUCACAGCAUCGUCUUUCAGGAUUUGAAAUAGCUCAACUGGAAUUCCAUCACCUCCACUAGCUUUGUUUGUAGUGAUGCUUUCUAAAGCCCCCUUGACUUCACAUUCCAGGAUGUCUGGCUCUAGAACUGCUUUUGAGCUGUGGUGUUGGAGAAAACUCUUGAGAGUCCCUUGGACUGCAAGGAGAACAAACCUUUUAAUCCUAAAGGAAAUCAAUCCUGAAUAUUCAUUGGAAGGACUAAUGCUGAAGCUGAAGCUCCAAUACUUUGGCCACCUGAUGUAAAGAAUUGAUUCAUUAGAAAAGACCCUGAUACUGGGAAAGAUUGAAGGCAGGAUGAGAAUGGGAUGAUAGAGGAUGAGAUGGUUGGAUGGCAUCAUUGACUCAAUGGACAUGAGUUUGAGCAAGCUCCAGGAGAUGGUGAAGAACAGGGAAGCCUGGUGUGCUGCAGUCUAUGGAGUCAUCAAGAGUUGGACAUGACUGAGCGACUGAACAGCAACAACUCUACAGAAACUUUAAUUGCCCUUAAAUUUCUCCAGCAUUUUUUCUGGAAAUCAUCAGGAUAUUUCAAGGCUACCAUGAUAAUCUCUGAUUUCUUCUAAUACUCUUCUAGUAUUUGUUCUCUUUAUUCACUGGGUUUAACCAUGUAACUGUGAUGGACUAAGGAUAAGUUCAUUUCCCUUGAGGGAUGACUCAAUAGUUUAAUCCAGGACUGUCUUGAUACCAGUUUGCAAGGUCAUUUCUCCAAGAUCAGUUUAUUCUUCCAGGACUGUGAGUAGUUAGAUUUUGCCCAUUAAAACAAACAAACAGGAAAAUGGCUUAAAACAACAUAUCAAUUAAGUCAACUGAAAGGUCAUUCUACAGUUUAUCUCCUAUUCUGUUUAUCAGUCAAAUUAUGUCCAGCCAUAUGGAAUAAAAUAGAUUAAUCACAGAUUCUGCAAUGAAAUUAUAUGACAUAAUUAAGAUAAAAUGCAAAAAAUUCUAAUAAGUAAAUGCUAAAGAAGGAAAGCUAUGACAAACCUAGACAGCAUAU